Molecule: long non-coding RNA, 111 nt
Organism: Neogale vison (American mink)
Lineage: Eukaryota; Metazoa; Chordata; Mammalia; Carnivora; Mustelidae
Exons: 3
Source: RefSeq, a predicted model, not a curated record
UAUACCAAAACCAGAAGCAUGAGCUUUGGAUUUGUCCAUGACCCCAGCAUGACAUGACAGAAGAAUUUUACAAGAACAUACAGCAACAAUGAUACAGAUGUCGUGAAAAGA